AUGAGAAAUUGCCCACCAAAACACUUGUCCAGAGGCAGCGUCAGACGAGAAGGGACACUCCUUGUGCCGCGGGGCAGGGAUGCCACCUGGUCCUCAGCGCACCAGGAAAGCACUCGGUGCUGUGGGAGCGCAGGCUUCCGCUGGUGGCUGCGAUGGAGACACCUGGGGGGCGUCGCCAGGAUUUUAUUUAAUACUCAGUCGGCUGCUGGGAAACAGGUGGCUGCAUCUCCGCUGGGGCCUGAGCCUCUCUUGGCAGCUGGGUGCUGCUGCAGGGGCUUGGAGUUUGCUUCGUCCUCCUGCUGUGGCGCUCUGCCUGCCCCUGGGUGCCGGCCUCAGCAGCUGAGCCUGAGCCUCCAGGAGAGAGUACUGCGAUUGGAUUCAGAAGCACAACAGCAAAUUGCUGACAACCUUUACAUACGCGUGUGUGUGUAAUGCAGCAGUACCGGUAUCUGUGCAUUGAUUAAAACAUCUAGGCUCCACUUAAGCUGAGUGGCCCAGGAUAAUGUUCAGCGAUGUUCUGGCACAACCAGAACUGCGCCUUAUUUUCUGUAAGUGGUGCUGUGAGCAUGAAAUGGCCUUUAUGAAAUGUUUUCUCUGUCAGGAGCUUUGAAGAGGCUUUUUAGUUGAGGUUGCAAGUCAGAUCUUCAUAUUUAUUAUCCUGAGAGAUUAAAAAAUAGAUGAAUUGUAAUAUUCUUUCUUCUUGGGUCAUUAUAUAGUACUCUCUCUACUUACUUAGGAGGGAGAUGCUUUUUUCAUCUUUUCUGAGACUGAAGCCAAAGGCUUUUUUUGCAAUAGAAACAUAGUCAGAAUGUCAUGACAGUGAUUUUUAAUAAAGUUAUAUACAGUAAAUAUAUUCUACCCA
Molecule: long non-coding RNA, 862 nt
Filed under: Anser cygnoides (Swan goose)
Lineage: Eukaryota; Metazoa; Chordata; Aves; Anseriformes; Anatidae
Description: lncRNA (ENSACDG00005001507.1)
Source: RNAcentral